RNAcentral lists this ribosomal RNA (253 nucleotides) under uncultured prokaryote. Its description in RNAcentral is "partial 16S ribosomal RNA". It matches the Rfam family "Bacterial small subunit ribosomal RNA", at positions 524 to 776 of the family's 1533-position model. The record is from RNAcentral.
UACGGAGGGAGCUAGCGUUGUUCGGAAUUACUGGGCGUAAAGCGCACGUAGGCGGCUUUGUAAGUUAGAGGUGAAAGCCCGGGGCUCAACUCCGGAACUGCCUUUAAGACUGCAUCGCUUGAAUCCAGGAGAGGUGAGUGGAAUUCCGAGUGUAGAGGUGAAAUUCGUAGAUAUGCGGAGGAACACCGAUGGCGAAGGCAAUCCCCUGGGCCUGCACUGACGCUCAUGCACGAAAGCGUGGGGAGCAAACAGG